UACGAAGGGGGCUAGCGUUGCUCGGAAUCACUGGGCGUAAAGCGCACGUAGGCGGCUUUCUAAGUCAGGGGUGAAAUCCCGGAGCUCAACUCCGGAACUGCCUUUGAUACUGGAGAGCUUGAGUCCGGGAGAGGUGAGUGGAACUGCGAGUGUAGAGGUGAAAUUCGUAGAUAUUCGCAAGAACACCAGUGGCGAAGGCGGCUCACUGGCCCGGUACUGACGCUGAGGUGCGAAAGCGUGGGGAGCAAACAGG
This 253-nucleotide ribosomal RNA is filed under the name uncultured bacterium. Its description in RNAcentral is "partial 16S ribosomal RNA". It matches the Rfam family "Bacterial small subunit ribosomal RNA", at positions 524 to 776 of the family's 1533-position model. The record is from RNAcentral.